Mycena latifolia is the source of this 93-nucleotide non-coding RNA. NCBI's taxonomy places the organism in Eukaryota, Fungi, Basidiomycota, Agaricomycetes, Agaricales, Mycenaceae. The record is from the annotation of a GenBank genome assembly.
GGCCUGUUGGCGUAAUGGUAACACAUUCCGUGCACCUAUAGCAUUCAUAUAUCGGUUAACAGAAGGUUCGGAGUUCGAUUCUCCGUCAAGCCG